Molecule: ribosomal RNA, 108 nt
Filed under: Acinetobacter baumannii
Lineage: Bacteria; Pseudomonadati; Pseudomonadota; Gammaproteobacteria; Moraxellales; Moraxellaceae
Description: partial 16S ribosomal RNA
Rfam family: Bacterial small subunit ribosomal RNA
Source: RNAcentral
UUUAACUGAAGAGUUUGAUCAUGGCUCAGAUUGAACGCUGGCGGCAGGCUUAACACAUGCAAGUCGAGCGGGGGAAGGUAGCUUGCUACUGGACCUAGCGGCGGACGG